RNAcentral lists this ribosomal RNA (619 nucleotides) under Vibrio sp. 2J25. RNAcentral's name for it is "bacterial SSU rRNA". It matches the Rfam family "Bacterial small subunit ribosomal RNA", at positions 51 to 646 of the family's 1533-position model. The record is from RNAcentral. Lineage: Bacteria; Pseudomonadati; Pseudomonadota; Gammaproteobacteria; Vibrionales; Vibrionaceae.
ACACAUGCAAGUCGAGCGGAAACGACUUAACUGAACCUUCGGGGAACGAUAAGGGCGUCGAGCGGCGGACGGGAGAGUAAUGCCUAGGAAAUUGCCAUGAUGUGGGGGAUAACCAUUGGAAACGAUGGCUAAUAUAGCAUGAUGCCUACGGGCCAAAGAGGGGGACCUUCGGGACUCUCGCGUCAGGAUAUGCCUAGGUGGGAUUAGCUAGGUUGGAGAGGUAAUGGCUCACGAAGGCGACGAUACAUAGCUGGUCUGAGAGGAUGAUCAGACACACUGGAACUGAUACACGGUCCAGACUCCUACGGGAGGCAGGAGUGGGGAAUAUUGCACAAUGGGCGCAAGGCUGAUGGAGUCAUGCCGCGUGUGUGAAGAAGGCCUUCGGGUUGUAAAGCACUUUUUCAGUCGUGAGGAAGGUAGUGUAGUUAAUAGCUGCAUUAUUUGACGUUAACGACAGAACAAUCAGCGGCUAACUCCGUGCCAACAGACGCGGCAAUACGGAGGGUGCGAAGCGUUAAUCGGAAUUACUGGGCGUAAAGCGGAUGCAGCGAUUUGUUAAGUCAGAUGUGAAAGUGGGGGGGUCAAUCUCGGAAGUACAUUUGAAACUGGUAGACUAGAG